Molecule: non-coding RNA, 3036 nt
Organism: Ictidomys tridecemlineatus (thirteen-lined ground squirrel)
Lineage: Eukaryota; Metazoa; Chordata; Mammalia; Rodentia; Sciuridae
Source: RefSeq, a predicted model, not a curated record
UGUUCUUUUCUUUUGUGUACAGAUGCACAAAGCAAGGUCAUCAGAAGCCUCUAGAUUCAAAAGAUGAUAAUACUGAAAAACACUGCCCUGUGACAGUGAAUCCUUGGCACAUGAAGAAAGCUUUUAAAGUCAUGAACGAAUUAAGAAGUCAAAAUUUGCUGUGUGAUGUCACAAUUGUGGCAGAAGACAUGGAAAUCUCUGCUCACAGAGUGGUGCUGGCCGCUUGUAGUCCUUAUUUUCACGCCAUGUUUACAGGUGAGAUGAGUGAGAGCCGAGCAAAGAGAGUUCGGAUAAAAGAGGUGGACGGCUGGACCCUGAGGAUGCUAAUUGAUUAUGUUUACACUGCAGAAAUUCAGGUUACAGAAGAAAAUGUACAGGUACUUCUCCCAGCAGCUGGUCUGUUACAGUUACAGGAUGUGAAGAAGACUUGCUGUGAAUUCUUGGAAUCUCAGCUUCACCCUGUCAACUGCUUAGGAAUUCGGGCUUUCGCUGAUAUGCAUGCAUGCACAGAACUCCUGAACAAGGCCAACACUUAUGCAGAGCAACAUUUUGCAGAUGUCGUACUUAGUGAAGAAUUUCUCAACCUGGGCAUUGAACAAGUGUGCAGCUUAAUCUCAAGUGACAAACUUACCAUUUCCUCAGAAGAGAAGGUAUUUGAAGCAGUAAUAGCAUGGGUGAACCACGACAAGGAUGUGAGGCAAGAGUUUAUGGCUCGACUGAUGGAACAUGUACGGUUACCUUUGCUUCCUCGGGAGUAUUUGGUUCAGAGGGUUGAAGAGGAGGCAUUGGUCAAGAAUAGCAGUGCUUGCAAAGAUUACCUAAUUGAAGCUAUGAAGUAUCAUUUGCUGCCAACAGAGCAGCGGAUAUUAAUGAAGAGUGUCCGGACACGGCUGAGAACACCCAUGAAUCUUCCCAAAGUAGGAUCUACUUUGAUGGUGGUAGUUGGGGGCCAAGCACCAAAGGCUAUUCGAAGUGUGGAAUGCUAUGACUUUAAGGAAGAACGAUGGCACCAAGUGGCAGAAUUGCCUUCUAGGAGAUGCCGAGCAGGAAUGGUCUACAUGGCUGGGCUUGUUUUUGCUGUUGGUGGCUUUAAUGGCUCAUUAAGAGUUCGCACUGUAGAUUCCUAUGACCCUGUGAAGGACCAAUGGACCAGUGUUGCCAAUAUGCGAGACCGGAGAAGCACUUUGGGAGCGGCUGUGUUAAAUGGAUUGUUAUAUGCAGUGGGGGGCUUUGAUGGGAGUACAGGUUUAUCAUCUGUGGAAGCGUAUAACAUAAAGUCUAAUGAGUGGUUUCAUGUAGCUCCAAUGAACACGAGGAGGAGCAGUGUUGGUGUGGGCGUUGUUGGAGGUUUGCUCUAUGCUGUAGGGGGUUAUGAUGGAGCUUCACGUCAGUGUCUUAGCACAGUAGAAUGCUAUAAUGCUACAACAAAUGAGUGGACCUAUAUAGCAGAAAUGAGCACCAGACGGAGUGGAGCAGGUGUUGGUGUGUUAAACAACUUAUUAUAUGCUGUAGGAGGUCAUGAUGGCCCUUUAGUACGAAAAAGUGUUGAAGUAUAUGAUCCUGCCACAAAUGCCUGGAGACAGGUAGCAGAUAUGAACAUGUGCAGAAGAAAUGCAGGGGUUUGUGCAGUUAAUGGUCUGUUAUAUGUUGUUGGAGGGGAUGAUGGUUCCUGUAACUUGGCAUCGGUAGAAUAUUAUAACCCAACAACAGAUAAAUGGACAGUUGUGUCAUCUUGUAUGAGCACAGGGAGAAGUUAUGCAGAAUGUUUCUUUAACAAAAUCGAUCCAAUAGUGGAGAAAAAAAGAAGUCUAUACUAAUUAACCAUCACUGUUGUUUAUGCAUCGUCCAAAACAACACUUCAUAGAAGAACUAUUACAGUAGGAUCCCAGAAUAACAUGACUCAAUAAUAGGGGUCACAGUUAUUGAUAAACCAUUAUGAGCCUGAAGGACAUUUUCGGCAUAUUUACACAUGAGAAACAGGCUUCAACAAGUAUUUCUGAAGUGACUGAGAAUCUAGCACUUCUCCACUUGUAGCUGCACUUUAAGUCUCAGCAGAAGAUAAGAUCGUCUGCCUUUAUAGGCCUCGGAUACUGAAGAUUAUUUUUGGUAGAAGCACUGUGUAGGCUUUUUCUGCAAUGAGCAGCAGCUGACUGAAUUUUAAUAAGAAACCUGGACUGCAGUACUUACUCUGUAGUCUUUAGCUAACAGUUGCUUUCAUAAAGACUAGUUCUCAUCACCCUGGAAUGACUAUGGAUUAUUUUGUGAAGGAGGAUGAAGUUAAUGUGUGUUCUUGUAAAAUUAAGUUUUAUCUUUAUUCCUUCUCCUGAAAAUCUGUAUACCCAGGAACUGAAAAUCUUUGAACAGGUAUUAAAAUCUGCGUAAGUAUACAAAGUGAUUGAGGGAUAAAACUAUUUGCUUUUAUAAAUAUCUUUGAUUACAUGAAUAUAAUAAAUUGUGUGCAUAUAAAUGUGUGUCUAUAUGCUUUCCUUUAAAUGUUUGAAAAGAUGUUUGAAACUUGAUUAUACUAUUUAUAAUUGGCACAGUACUUUGAAUUAUGCCAGUACUACAUUGUAAAACAGAGUUGUAUUUUUUGAUAUUUAACAAUGCUUAACACUUUAAAAUGCCACUUCUGAGGAAUGAACAUGGUGUAACACACUUGAAUAUGUGUGAUGCCAAACUUUUUAAAAUAAAGUAUAAAUUAUGCUUAUUUAUUAUUUUCUUUAGUUUAAUCUUGGUCAUGUUUUGGUGUGUAUUUUUAAUUUUUUCUUAAAGUAACACUUUGGCAUGAAUAUAACUGCAGGUUUUUGAUGAAUAUAAUGAAUGUAUGGAAUUCAACUGAAUUUGCAUGGUCUUAAGACUUUUUCUGUGUGUAUAAAUUUAGCUGCUAUUAACAGAAGGAGAGAGCUUUCUGUAAGUAGCCAUGUGCUUUGAUCAGAUAGUUUUUCUGAGAUCUUCAAUUAAUCUCACUUUAAAGAUGACCAAAACAUGUCUUUCUUGAAUUAUCUUUGAAUAAAAGUUUGUAUAUUAUUUGUUUUA